ACUAGCUUGGCAGACCAGUGCACUUGACUUAGGAUCAAUAUAGAGAGCCUAGCUCUAGCUAGUA
RNAcentral lists this transfer RNA (64 nucleotides) under Eurythoe complanata. RNAcentral describes it as "tRNA-Leu". The record is from RNAcentral. Lineage: Eukaryota; Metazoa; Annelida; Polychaeta; Eunicida; Amphinomidae.